AGAGCGAACGCUGGCGGCAGGCCUAAUACAUGCAAGUCGAACGGAUCCUUCGGGAUUAGUGGCGGACGGGUGAGUAACACGUGGGAACGUGCCCUUUGGUUCGGAACAACUCAGGGAAACUUGAGCUAAUACCGAAUGUGCCCUUCGGGGGAAAGAUUUAUCGCCAUUGGAGCGGCCCGCGUCUGAUUAGCUAGUUGGUGGGGUAAAGGCCCACCAAGGCGACGAUCAGUAGCUGGUCUGAGAGGAUGAUCAGCCACACUGGGACUGAGACACGGCCCAGACUCCUACGGGGGGCAGCAGUGAGGAAUUUUCCGCAAUGGGCGCAAGCCUGACGGAGCAACGCCGCGUGCAGGACGACGGCCUUCGGGUUGUAAACUGCUUUUCUGGGGGACGAGCAAGGACGGUACCCCAGGAAUCAGCCCCGGCUAACUACGUGCCAGCAGCCGC
Molecule: ribosomal RNA, 447 nt
Filed under: uncultured bacterium
Lineage: Bacteria
Description: SSU rRNA
Rfam family: Bacterial small subunit ribosomal RNA
Source: RNAcentral